RNAcentral lists this ribosomal RNA (253 nucleotides) under uncultured bacterium. RNAcentral describes it as "partial 16S ribosomal RNA". It matches the Rfam family "Bacterial small subunit ribosomal RNA", at positions 524 to 776 of the family's 1533-position model. The record is from RNAcentral.
UACAGAGGGUGCGAGCGUUGUCCGGAUUUAUUGGGCGUAAAGAGCGUGUAGGCGGCCAGAUAGGUCUGCUGUGAAAACUCGAGGCUCAACCUCGAGCUGUCGGCGGAAACCAUUCGGCUAGAGUCCGGAAGAGGAAAGCGGAAUUCCUGGUGUAGCGGUGAAAUGCGCAGAUAUCAGGAAGAACACCCGUGGCGAAGGCGGCUUUCUGGGACGGUACUGACGCUGAGACGCGAAAGCUAGGGGAGCAAACAGG